GUAGGGUCCGAGCGUUAUCCGGAAUCAUUGGGCGUAAAGAGCUCGUAGGCGGUUCAGCAAGUCGGCUGUGAAAGUUCGAGGCCCAACCUCGAAAUUGCAGUCGAUACUGCUGUGACUUGAAUUCGGUAGAGGAGAAUGGAAUUCCCGGUGUAGCGGUGAAAUGCGCAGAUAUCGGGAGGAACACCAGUAGCGAAGGCGGUUCUCUGGGCCGAUAUUGACGCUGAGGAGCGAAAGCGUGGGGGGAGCAAACAGGAUUAGAUGCCCUGGUAGUCCACGCCCGUAAACCGUUGGAUGCUAGGUGUGGCGGUCUACCAACGACUGCCGUGCCGAAGCUAACGCAUUAAGCAUCCCCGCCUGGGGAGUACGGCCGCAAGGCUA
RNAcentral lists this ribosomal RNA (378 nucleotides) under uncultured organism. RNAcentral's name for it is "partial 16S ribosomal RNA". It matches the Rfam family "Bacterial small subunit ribosomal RNA", at positions 527 to 896 of the family's 1533-position model. The record is from RNAcentral.